Molecule: transfer RNA, 80 nt
Filed under: Clostridiales bacterium
Lineage: Bacteria; Bacillati; Bacillota; Clostridia; Eubacteriales
Description: tRNA-Leu
Rfam family: tRNA
About the family: Transfer RNA (tRNA) molecules are approximately 80 nucleotides in length.
Source: RNAcentral
GUGGUCGUGGUGGAACUGGCAGACACGUACGUUUGAGGGGCGUAUGGGCAACCAUGCGGGUUCAAGUCCCGCCGACCACA